AGAGUUUGAUCCUGGCUCAGGAUGAACGCUAGCGGCAGGCUUAAUACAUGCAAGUCGAGGGGCAGCAUGAGUGUAGCAAUACAUUUGAUGGCGACCGGCAAACGGGUGCGGAACACGUACACAACCUUCCUAUAAGUGGGGAAUAGCCCAGAGAAAUUUGGAUUAAUACCCCGUAACAUAAUGAUGUGGCAUCACAUUAUUAUUAUAGCUACGGCGCUUAUUGAUGGGUGUGCGGCUGAUUAGAUAGUUGGCGGGGUAACGGCCCACCAAGUCUACGAUCAGUAGCUGAUGUGAGAGCAUGAUCAGCCACACGGGCACUGAGACACGGGCCCGACUCCUACGGGAGGCAGCAGUAAGGAAUAUUGGUCAAUGGACGCAAGUCUGAACCAGCCAUGCCGCGUGAAGGAUUAAGGUCCUCUGGAUUGUAAACUUCUUUUAUCUGGGACGAAAAAAGGCUAUUCUUAGUCACUUGACGGUACCAGAUGAAUAAGCACCGGCUAACUCCGUGCCAGCAGCCGCGGUAAUACGGAGGGUGCAAGCGUUAUCCGGAUUCACUGGGUUUAAAGGGUGCGUAGGCGGGCAGGUAAGUCAGUGGUGAAAUCCUGGAGCUUAACUCCAGAACUGCCAUUGAUACUAUCUGUCUUGAAUAUUGUGGAGGUAAGCGGAAUAUGUCAUGUAGCGGUGAAAUGCUUAGAUAUGACAUAGAACACCUAUUGCGAAGGCAGCUUACUACGCAUAUAUUGACGCUGAGGCACGAAAGCGUGGGGAUCAAACAGGAUUAGAUACCCUGGUAGUCC
RNAcentral lists this ribosomal RNA (797 nucleotides) under uncultured bacterium. RNAcentral's name for it is "bacterial SSU rRNA". It matches the Rfam family "Bacterial small subunit ribosomal RNA", at positions 8 to 796 of the family's 1533-position model. The record is from RNAcentral.